This 255-nucleotide ribosomal RNA is filed under the name uncultured bacterium. RNAcentral describes it as "partial 16S ribosomal RNA". It matches the Rfam family "Bacterial small subunit ribosomal RNA", at positions 524 to 776 of the family's 1533-position model. The record is from RNAcentral.
UACGUAGGGUGCUAGCGUUGUCCGGAUUUGAUUGGCGUAAAGGGCUCGUAGGCGCGUGUCGCGUCGGGGAGUGAAAGCCCGCUGCUUAACGGCGGGUUGGCUUCCGGUACGGGCAUCGCUGGAGUGCGGCAGGGGGAGACUGGAAUUCCUGGUGUAGCGGUGGAAUGCGCAGAUAUCAGGAGGAACACCGGUGGCGAAGGCGGGUCUCUGGGCCGUUACUGACGCUGAGGAGCGAAAGCGUGGGGAGCGAACAGG